Molecule: ribosomal RNA, 503 nt
Filed under: Bacillus sp. (in: firmicutes)
Lineage: Bacteria; Bacillati; Bacillota; Bacilli; Caryophanales; Bacillaceae
Description: bacterial SSU rRNA
Rfam family: Bacterial small subunit ribosomal RNA
Source: RNAcentral
CUCAGGACGAACGCUGGCGGCGUGCCUAAUACAUGCAAGUCGAGCGAAUCGAUGGGAGCUUGCUCCCUGAGAUUAGCGGCGGACGGGUGAGUAACACGUGGGCAACCUGCCUAUAAGACUGGGAUAACUUCGGGAAACCGGAGCUAAUACCGGAUACGUUCUUUUCUCGCAUGAGAGAAGAUGGAAAGACGGUUUACGCUGUCACUUAUAGAUGGGCCCGCGGCGCAUUAGCUAGUUGGUGAGGUAAUGGCUCACCAAGGCGACGAUGCGUAGCCGACCUGAGAGGGUGAUCGGCCACACUGGGACUGAGACACGGCCCAGACUCCUACGGGAGGCAGCAGUAGGGAAUCUUCCGCAAUGGACGAAAGUCUGACGGAGCAACGCCGCGUGAACGAAGAAGGCCUUCGGGUCGUAAAGUUCUGUUGUUAGGGAAGAACAAGUACCAGAGUAACUGCUGGUACCUUGACGGUACCUAACCAGAAAGCCACGGCUAACUACGUGCC